GCGAAAAGCGUCGGUAAGCUGAUAUGAAGCGUGAUAGCCGGCGAUGUCCGAAUGGGGAAACCCAGUGCAAUGCGUUGCACUAUCAUUAACUGAAUUCAUAGGUUAAUGAGGCGAACCGGGGGAACUGAAACAUCUCAGUACCCCGAGGAAAAGAAAUCAACCGAGAUUCCCCCAGUAGCGGCGAGCGAACGGGGAGGAGCCCAGAACCUGCAUCAGCGAUAGCAUCAGAGGAACGGUCUGGAAAGGCCGGCGAGAGAGGGUGACAGCCCCGUACUCGAAGAUGGUAUGGCUGUGAGUUCGAUGAGUAAGGCGGGACACGAGAAAUCCUGUCUGAAGAUGGGGGGACCAUCCUCCAAGGCUAAAUACUCCUGACUGACCGAUAGUGAACCAGUAC
RNAcentral lists this ribosomal RNA (394 nucleotides) under Photorhabdus sp. S10-54. RNAcentral's name for it is "bacterial LSU rRNA". It matches the Rfam family "Bacterial large subunit ribosomal RNA", at positions 68 to 501 of the family's 2925-position model. The record is from RNAcentral. Lineage: Bacteria; Pseudomonadati; Pseudomonadota; Gammaproteobacteria; Enterobacterales; Morganellaceae.